Molecule: ribosomal RNA, 447 nt
Filed under: uncultured bacterium
Lineage: Bacteria
Description: partial 16S ribosomal RNA
Rfam family: Bacterial small subunit ribosomal RNA
Source: RNAcentral
AACGAACGCUGGCGGCAGGCUUAACACAUGCAAGUUGAGCGCCCCGCAAGGGGAGCGGCAGACGGGUGAGUAACGCGUGGGAAUCUACCCAUCCCUACGGAAUAGCUCCGGGAAACUGGAAUUAAUACCGUAUACGCCCUACGGGGGAAAGAUUUAUCGGGGAUGGAUGAGCCCGCGUUGGAUUAGCUAGUUGGUGGGGUAAAGGCCUACCAAGGCGACGAUCCAUAGCUGGUCUGAGAGGAUGAUCAGCCACAUUGGGACUGAGACGCGGCCCAAACUCCUACGGGAGGCAGCAGUGGGGAAUAUUGGACAAUGGGGGCAACCCUGAUCCAGCCAUGCCGCGUGAGUGAUGAAGGCCUUAGGGUUGUAAAGCUCUUUCACCGGGGAAGAUAAUGACGGUACCCGGAGAAGAAGCCCCGGCUAACUUCGUGCCAGCAGCCGCCGUAA